Molecule: ribosomal RNA, 246 nt
Filed under: uncultured bacterium
Lineage: Bacteria
Description: partial 16S ribosomal RNA
Rfam family: Bacterial small subunit ribosomal RNA
Source: RNAcentral
UACGAAGGUCCCAAGCGUUUAUCCGGAUUUAUUGGGUUUAAAGGGUGCGUAGGCGGGCUAUUAAGUCAGUGGUGAAAGCCCCAGCUUAACUUGGGAACUGCCAUUGAUACUGAUGGUCUUGAGUACAUUUGAGGUGGGCGGAAUGUGUCAUGUAGCGGUGAAAUGCUUAGAUAUGACACAGAACACCGAUUGCGAAGGCAGCUCACUAAACUGUAACUGACGCUGAUGCACGAAAGCGUAGGGGAG